UGCAGCGCGUUUCUGUAUUUGGUUGUGUUGUGAGUAUUUGGAGUACACGUGUGCUGUGAAACUGAUGAAGAUGUUUUCUUAAUUUGCUGGUGUUUUUUUCUAUUUGCAUUGGUUUUUUUUCUUUUUGCAUGCGUUUUUUUCUAUUUGCAUGCGUUUUUUUCUAUUUGCAUGCGUCUUCUUUAGGUUGCAGCACGUUGAGCUCUCUCGGCCACCGUAGGUCCUGGACAGUGUACAAUAGUACACAUUUUGGAUGUCUUCCUUAUCUGGCACCAGUCUUGGAGUCCCUCUACUAACAAGCUGUAGAGUCUAAGCUGUCUGAUGACUGACAAUGAUUGAGUGGCAAAAGAAAGCAAGAAGUCCUCACAGCCAAGUCGAGGAGUUCAUGAGACACACACCAACUCAACAAACUGCAGUGCGUGGAAUUGGUCCUCUGGAACAAAAACUAUCGAAGAAACCAUUAGAGAACAUCCCAGACUUCACAGUUUUCUUGGAAUGAUGUGCAAUUCCUGAGAUGAAGAUGAAGCUGUAGAGGGUACCUUUUACUGCCCAAAACUGGCUUCCUCGCUCCUCUGCUCUCACUACCCUCGAAGGCAGAGCGGCCCCUCACGCACUCCAGCAAGUCCAACAGGCCAAGGCUCUUAAAGAUCUGCAAUUGGGUAGUCCUGAUCCUGAUGUGCUGCAGGAACUGCGCUCGAUGACCGAACGGGCCUCCCGGGCCACGAAGGUCAUAGCGCCGGCACUCGGACAGGCGACGGCCACACUCGUGGUCCAGGAACAACAUCUGUGGCUGAACCUGGUCGAGAUGCGGGACCCCGACAAAGCCCACUUUCUCAACACCCCCAUCUCCCAGUUCAGCUUAUUCGGUUACACCGUUUGCCCAGCGGUCUUCGGCAGUGAGAAACGUCUUCCUCCGAGAGAAAGCCACUUCAGCCGCCCCUUGUGCCGUGCCUCCUUCCUACAGGAUUUCACCGCUGCAUCGGAGAGCGACAGAGUGGCGUCUGAUGCUGAUGACUUGACUGGGCUGCCACCUUCGGGUCUGCUCAUCCAGUCUGAGCCUGACACACAGAUGUCCGCUAUGCUUGCCUGGGCCGCCUUGAGCGAGGGACUGGCCUGGAACCCUUCGCCCCACCCACCCCUUACGGCUAGAUGAUUGGUUCCUCGGGUCAGGGUGCCCCUUACUAAUAUAGAUGGUUGAAGGAGAAAAUGAAAAAGACCAACGGACAGUAAUUGCUGUUUCAUUUAAAAAAUAUAUUUCUGAUAACAGUUUUAUAUAAACAAAAGGUUUAAAUUAUUUAAAUAUGUUUACAGAUACAUACAAGUACACAAGCAAAUGUACAUUAAUCACUUACCUUACUUUUACACUAUUUAAAUAUGUAAUUUUUAAAUGCCAUAUUACAGCAUAUGUGGGAUGUGGAACAGAUGUGUGGACAUUUACGGACUUCUCUUUAAGUGGUGCACAGGAAUAUAUGUGCUAGUGUGCGGCAGAGUUCGGAUGUGCUUUGGCUGGUGCGCGGAAGUGUUCGGAUGUGUUUACCCGAAAAUGUGGCACACUUUCCCUUAAACGUCCCUUAAACGUGUGCAGGCGUGUACAGCCCGGACAUCAGUCUUUUAUGCAGUGCACGUACACUUAUGAACAACCUUAUGUAAGAACAUGGUAUUUGUUAUGGCCAAUACAUGACUAGCACAGAAGUCGAAAAACAAAACACUGCUCGGGUUCAGAAUGGGCAGGCCGUUCCUUCCAAUCACUCCCCUCCAGAUUUCUCCAUUUAUUGCCAACAUGGGCGUUGAAGUCACCCAGCAGAAAUAUGAAGUCCCCAGGUGUCACCCCUUCCAGGACACCACUCAGGCCAGAUACUGCAAACUGCGGUUUUAUAAAAAAGUAACAUAAUUAUUGUACAAGUUGCAUAUUUACUAACACAUGCAGUUUUCAGUUUUCGUGCAGAGAGAGGGUGAGGACUCAAGCACAAAGUUAACAAAAAUAGGCUUUAUUGAAGAAGUCAACAAAACAAACAAAAACAACCCCAAAGGUGGAAAAAUCAUAGUCCAGGGCAACAGUCUUGAUGACGGGCUGGGCUGAAUAAGGAAUUCGCAAAGGCUGUGUGGCUCCAUGCCACACAACAGGAACAGACCAACAGACAGACAACUUAAGCAGGGAAUAGUCCACAAUGAACUGGAAUGGGACAGAAAACACAGGGAGGUUAAAAAGGGAAGGAAAUGAGGAGGGUAAUUAGGAAAGGCAGGUGCAGCAAAUGAAAUAAUAGCAAUGAAACAAGGGGGCGGGGUCUAGAAGAGAGACAGGAGAGAACAUGGCAAACAUACAUGACAGAGGCCAUGUGCUCACACCAAACACAAUGGCAAGACAGUUGUUCUAGAGCACAUGGCCAACGAAACCAUCACUGACCAUGUGUUCAAUCACAUAAACCACACCAGCCCCACAUCACAAACGCACAGCCCGAACAGUCCCGUGCGUCAGAGAAUACUGUUCUCUAUUCACAAGACUUUUCAACAAUCAGACAUUUUAAGUGUCUCCCUCUGGCAAUGUCUUUUUCGUUUUUUUCACAAGCACGAGCAAAACAGCAUUAGAUGUCUUUGGUGAUACUCUCGCUGUCACGGAUUUUGAAAAAAAUGAUUUUACCUUGUACAUCUGUGAGGAAAGCAGCUCUGGCAGCACCGGUGUUUGUAUCUCUCAUACUGUACGUCUCUUUGAUCAGUUGAUCAGUGGUGUAAUGGUGAAACAAAUUGAAAUCUUUAAUGAUAGAUUUCGUAUGCAAACAAAAGACAUUGGUUUCCUCUGCAUACAUUUACGUUAACGCACACUAACUGCACUUUGCUCAAUUUCCCUUAUAAAUCAAGAACAAGUGUAAGAUGUUACAUGCUAGAAUCUGACAGUGAUCAGCAGGUCUGCUCAGAACAAGCAACCUCUUCUGGACGAUAGUUGUUAUAACAUCAUAGCCUGAAUGCAAUAUUAACAUAGUCCCUUUUUUAAUAAAACCUCAGUAUUGUCUGAUGGGUCAUUUUCAACGUUACUGCCAGUGAGCCACCAGUUGCCCAUCCCUGUGCUAAAAGAUACUACAAAUUAAUAAGGAAAUGAAGUGCAAGGGAUGGAAAUAUGCAAGUGGUUUUGCGCCAGUAGAUGGCAAAUUGUUGGUUUUUUUUUGUUUGUUUUAGAUGUGUCAUUACAUUGAACCAAAAUCAAACAAAACAAGUCUAAUUAUCCUUUAUUAAAAUGUGCAUGUCUACAGUUCUACUAAGUGUUCAGCACUGCAGAGUUUUUAAGCAUCAUUAGCUUUUUCCCAUAAUUGACAAAGCAUCUUUCAUAUUGUGAACAUGCUGUAUGCUUUUUAUCAAGCUAUACAUAAAAGACAACAAUAAUAGCCUAAAAUUUUGUUUUUUUAAUGUCCUAACGUCAAUGUAAUUUGUGGUCAUCACUAACUUUUAUUCAUAAUUCAUCCAGCCCCACCUUUGUUAAACAAGAUUGCCGAACAUGAACGAUGACCUCUCAUUUGGUCAGUCAGCAGAUCUUCGUCCAUGAAUAAGAUGACAUUUUGUUCACAAAUUACUGUAAAGGUACAUUCAGUUAGGUCAGAAACAAGAUGUCUCAGACUCAAUUGACCUACUAAUAGUUC
Long non-coding RNA from Xyrauchen texanus (razorback sucker), 3626 nucleotides. RefSeq lists it as uncharacterized. The transcript is spliced from 3 exons. The record is from RefSeq and is a predicted model, not a curated record. NCBI's taxonomy places the organism in Eukaryota, Metazoa, Chordata, Actinopteri, Cypriniformes, Catostomidae.